GGAAUAUUGGACAAUGGGCGGAAGCCUGAUCCAGCCAUGCCGCGUGCAGGAAGACGGCCCUAUGGGUUGUAAACUGCUUUUAUACGGGAAGAAACACCCCCUCGUGAGGGGGCUUGACGGUACCGUAGGAAUAAGGACCGGCUAACUCCGUGCCAGCAGCCGCGGUAAUACGGAGGAUCCAAGCGUUAUCCGGAAUCAUUGGGUUUAAAGGGUCCGUAGGUGGAUGGUUAAGUCAGGGGUGAAAGUCUGCAGCUCAACUGUAGAAUUGCCCUUGAUACUGGCUAUCUUGAAUCAUUGUGAAGUGGUUAGAAUAUGUAGUGCAGCGGUGAAAUGCAUAGAUAUUACAUAGAAUACCGAUUGCGAAGGCAGAUCACUAACAAUGUAUUGACACUGAUGGACGAAAGCGUGGGUAGCGAA
Molecule: ribosomal RNA, 417 nt
Filed under: uncultured bacterium
Lineage: Bacteria
Description: bacterial SSU rRNA
Rfam family: Bacterial small subunit ribosomal RNA
Source: RNAcentral